Molecule: ribosomal RNA, 650 nt
Filed under: Vibrio sp. UST991130-024
Lineage: Bacteria; Pseudomonadati; Pseudomonadota; Gammaproteobacteria; Vibrionales; Vibrionaceae
Description: bacterial SSU rRNA
Rfam family: Bacterial small subunit ribosomal RNA
Source: RNAcentral
GGGCGCAAGCCUGAUGCAGCCUGCCGCGUGUAUGAAGAAGGCCUUCGGGUUGUAAAGUACUUUCAGCAGUGAGGAAGGUUCAUGCGUUAAUAGCGUAUGGAUUUGACGUUAGCUGCAGAAGAAGCACCGGCUAACUCCGUGCCAGCAGCCGCGGUAAUACGGAGGGUGCGAGCGUUAAUCGGAAUUACUGGGCGUAAAGCGCAUGCAGGUGGUUUGUUAAGUCAGAUGUGAAAGCCCGGGGCUCAACCUCGGAAUUGCAUUUGAAACUGGCAGACUAGAGUACUGUAGAGGGGGGUAGAAUUUCAGGUGUAGCGGUGAAAUGCGUAGAGAUCUGAAGGAAUACCGGUGGCGAAGGCGGCCCCCUGGACAGAUACUGACACUCAGAUGCGAAAGCGUGGGGAGCAAACAGGAUUAGAUACCCUGGUAGUCCACGCCGUAAACGAUGUCUACUUGGAGGUUGUGGCCUUGAGCCGUGGCUUUCGGAGCUAACGCGUUAAGUAGACCGCCUGGGGAGUACGGUCGCAAGAUUAAAACUCAAAUGAAUUGACGGGGGCCCGCACAAGCGGUGGAGCAUGUGGUUUAAUUCGAUGCAACGCGAAGAACCUUACCUACUCUUGACAUCCAGAGAACUUUCCAGAGAGGAUUGGUGC